ACAAAUAAAUCAAAACUUUCAACAACGGAUCUCUUGGUUCUGGCAUCGAUGAAGAACGCAGCAAAAUGCGAUAAGUAAUGUGAAUUGCAGAAUUCAGUGAAUCAUCGAAUCUUUGAACGCACAUUGCGCCCGCCAGUAUUCUGGCGGGCAUGCCUGUUCGA
Molecule: ribosomal RNA, 161 nt
Filed under: Fusarium incarnatum
Lineage: Eukaryota; Fungi; Ascomycota; Sordariomycetes; Hypocreales; Nectriaceae
Description: 5.8S ribosomal RNA
Rfam family: 5.8S ribosomal RNA
About the family: 5.8S ribosomal RNA (5.8S rRNA) is a component of the large subunit of the eukaryotic ribosome.
Source: RNAcentral